Molecule: unclassified non-coding RNA, 21 nt
Filed under: Chlamydomonas reinhardtii
Lineage: Eukaryota; Viridiplantae; Chlorophyta; Chlorophyceae; Chlamydomonadales; Chlamydomonadaceae
Description: small RNA Cre_2755
Source: RNAcentral
UCGUUCAGCAGGUCCGGCAUG